CUACGGGGGGCUCCAGUGGGGAAUUUUGGACAAUGGGGGCAACCCUGAUCCAGCCAUGCCGCGUGAGUGAAGAAGGCCUUCGGGUUGUAAAGCUCUUUCAGCCGGGAAGAAAUCGCAUGGGUUAAUACCCUGUGCGGAUGACGGUACCGGAAUAAGAAGCACCGGCUAACUACGUGCCAGCAGCCGCGGUAAUACGUAGGGUGCGAGCGUUAAUCGGAAUUACUGGGCGUAAAGCGUGCGCAGGCGGAUGCUUAGGCCAGAUGUGAAAUCCCCGGGCUUAACCUGGGAAUUGCAUUUGAAACUGGGUGUCUAGAGUGCGUCAGAGGGGGGUGGAAUUCCACGUGUAGCAGUGAAAUGCGUAGAUAUGUGGAGGAACACCAAUGGCGAAGGCAGCCCCCUGGGAUGACACUGACGCUCAUGCACGAAAGCGUGGGGAGCAAACAGGAUUAGAUACCCUGGUAGUC
RNAcentral lists this ribosomal RNA (464 nucleotides) under uncultured bacterium. Its description in RNAcentral is "partial 16S ribosomal RNA". It matches the Rfam family "Bacterial small subunit ribosomal RNA", at positions 339 to 795 of the family's 1533-position model. The record is from RNAcentral.